This 761-nucleotide transfer RNA is filed under the name Acidomonas methanolica. RNAcentral's name for it is "contains 16S rRNA, 16S-23S rRNA ITS and 23S rRNA". The stretch from base 168 to 241 matches the Rfam family "tRNA". Lineage: Bacteria; Pseudomonadati; Pseudomonadota; Alphaproteobacteria; Acetobacterales; Acetobacteraceae. The record is from RNAcentral.
UGCGGUUGGAUCACCUCCUUUCAAGGAAGCGUCCUGACAUGUUGGGAUGCUCCUGCAGAAGUCCUGUUUGGAUCAGACAGGCGCGCCCUGAUGCUGGCGGCAUGGAUUUUGGUCUGUGCGGGCUGAGGCGCCGUCAACAUAUCCCUUCCUUAUGAUGUAUGGUGUUUGGGCUAGUAGCUCAGUUGGUUAGAGCACACGCUUGAUAAGCGUGGGGUCGGAGGUUCAAGUCCUCCCUGGCCCACCACGUUUGUGGUGGCGUGUUGCGUGUAGCGGUGCGCCUGGGGGGCAUAGCUCAGCUGGGAGAGCACCUGCUUUGCAAGCAGGGGGUCGUCGGUUCGAACCCGUCUGCCUCCACCAUGCGUCGUGAGGAAAGAGGAAAGAGUUUCGUUUCUGUCUGUGUUGUGAGCUGUGAAUACGGCCAUGCGCGGGCGGGGCGGGAAGGUUGGUUCUUUGUCAGUGUGAAUAGGUUGGUGCGCUUUCUGGGCGUUGCCGUUUGUCCUGGGUUGGUCUGACCCGUUGGGCGUGGGGAUUCCUGCGUCUGAUGAGAAGGGCGGCGGCGGAAGACGUUCAGAAGGUGAGAGAAAGAAUUGCGUGCGAUGCGCUGCACUUUCUCAUGUGUGGCGAUCAUUGGCAUGACGGCCUGUUGUGGAGGCCUUGAAGGCGAGAGCUGGAGAGGUCUGUGCGAGGGGCCCGAGCGUGGAUGGUUGCUGUGCAUGUGUGGCGUGAGCAUGAGAAGGGCAUUCGGUGGAUGCCUAGGCACA